CUAAGGUUCUUCAUCACUACUAGCAAGUCCCCUUUUGGAGAAGGUACGUUUUAAAUCUUAUCAUAUACAUUAUUUUCGUGCAGAAAACCUGAUUGUUUUAUAUAACUUCUCGUUACUUAAUAGGAGAGAUAGACAUAAAAUGUUCAUAUUAUAGCGUUCAUUUUCUUUUCUGUCGAAGAUGAAUAUUUAUGAAUAAGUUGUGGGUGCAUAUAUGUGUAUAUAGGAACCAACACUCGGGAUAGGUUUGAGAUGCGAGUUCAUAAAAGAGUGAUGGACCUCUUCAGCACCCCAGAGGUGGUCAAGCAUGUUACCAAUAUACAGAUGGAAGCCCGCGUCGAGGUUGGGGUUACCAUUGCCGAUGUUUAA
RNAcentral lists this long non-coding RNA (366 nucleotides) under Prunus dulcis (almond). RNAcentral's name for it is "sRNA ncRNA". Lineage: Eukaryota; Viridiplantae; Streptophyta; Magnoliopsida; Rosales; Rosaceae. The record is from RNAcentral.